This 217-nucleotide long non-coding RNA is filed under the name Mytilus galloprovincialis (Mediterranean mussel). The record is from RNAcentral. Lineage: Eukaryota; Metazoa; Mollusca; Bivalvia; Mytilida; Mytilidae.
GUAACAUCAUGAUAAAAAUCAAUUUCAUAAUUAACAAUCUUUUUUGUGUAACAAGAAACAAUUUUCCAUAUACAGGUUAGCCUAUGUACAUAGAAAUCUCUAACAAUAUAAGCCUCUAGCCUCUGUACAUGGCAAUUUCUAACAAUUUCCCUAAUCAAGAUAAAGUCUUACAAAAAUUGUGUGUACGUAAGAAAUAACAUUCUUUGUUCAUAUGUUU